AGCUCAGUGGUACAGCUCCCGCUUCGUUUGCGGGAAGACCUGGGUUCGAUUCCCGG
This is a transfer RNA of Toxocara canis (dog roundworm), 56 nucleotides long. It matches the Rfam family "tRNA", at positions 9 to 63 of the family's 71-position model. From Rfam's summary of the family: Transfer RNA (tRNA) molecules are approximately 80 nucleotides in length. NCBI's taxonomy places the organism in Eukaryota, Metazoa, Nematoda, Chromadorea, Rhabditida, Toxocaridae. The record is from Rfam.